This 353-nucleotide transfer-messenger RNA is filed under the name bacterium. RNAcentral describes it as "UBA8229 sp012964235 Standard tmRNA". It matches the Rfam family "transfer-messenger RNA". Rfam says of the family: Bacterial tmRNA, also known as 10Sa RNA or SsrA, is named for its dual tRNA and mRNA-like properties. Its role is to liberate the mRNA from a stalled ribosome. The record is from RNAcentral. RNAcentral also lists the same sequence under 1 other name.
GGGGGCGACCGGUUUCGACGGGAUAAAAACGCUAUUAAACUGCAUGUCGAGGCCCAGGCAUCUCGUAAAUCACCUGGACACUUAAUAAGUGCCAAUUAUGGCAAUGUAGCUUACGCUUAAUUGACGUAAGUCGUCCUGAAUAGAAUACGCCUAUGGUUUUAUUCAAGGGCGUCAUUUACAUGGGCUGGUUCGGGCAGGUGUCCAAACUGUCCGGAUGAGAUUCAACUGGACUGGUUCCCAUAGCCUGGGGUUUCUGGCAGCUAUGGGAAUGAGAUUAAUCCAGCAAACUAAACAUGUAGAUGUUUCUUAGGGUUUUAUUUCGGACGGGAGUUCAACUCUCCCCGCCUCCACUA